AUUGAACGCUGGCGGUAGGCCUAACACAUGCAAGUCGAACGCGAAAGUCCUGGAUGAGUAGAGUGGCGGACGGGUGAGUAACGCGUAGGAAUCUAUCCUGUAGUGGGGGAGUAACGUUUCGAAAGGAACGCUAAUACCGCAUACGCCCCAAGGGGGAAAGCGGGGAUCUUCGGACCUCGUGCUAUAGGAGGAGCCUGCGUCGGAUUAGCUAGUUGGUGAGGUAAAGGCUCACCAAGGCGACGAUCCGUAGCUGGUCUGAGAGGAUGAUCAGCCACACCGGAACUGAGACACGGUCCGGACUCCUACGGGAGGCAGCAGUGGGGAAUAUUGCGCAAUGGGCGAAAGCCUGACGCAGCCAUACCGCGUGUGUGAAGAAGGCCUCGGUUG
Molecule: ribosomal RNA, 387 nt
Filed under: uncultured bacterium
Lineage: Bacteria
Description: bacterial SSU rRNA
Rfam family: Bacterial small subunit ribosomal RNA
Source: RNAcentral